Myodes glareolus (Bank vole) is the source of this 129-nucleotide small nucleolar RNA. RefSeq annotates it as small nucleolar RNA SNORA31. NCBI's taxonomy places the organism in Eukaryota, Metazoa, Chordata, Mammalia, Rodentia, Cricetidae. The record is from RefSeq and is a predicted model, not a curated record.
GUGAAUUUUAUGACUACAAAAGUAUCAUAUGUGUGAUUCUUCUAGUUUGCACUAGGAUGCCAAAGAAAAUGCUCUCCGCACUUCCUGUCUGUCUGUGUGGCAGUCCAGGUUGAUUUGGAGAGUACAUGU